RNAcentral lists this non-coding RNA (23 nucleotides) under Arabidopsis thaliana (thale cress). Lineage: Eukaryota; Viridiplantae; Streptophyta; Magnoliopsida; Brassicales; Brassicaceae. The record is from RNAcentral.
ACUAAGUGCAUCUCCAUCAGUGA